RNAcentral lists this ribosomal RNA (238 nucleotides) under uncultured Actinomycetales bacterium. RNAcentral's name for it is "partial 16S ribosomal RNA". It matches the Rfam family "Bacterial small subunit ribosomal RNA", at positions 93 to 334 of the family's 1533-position model. Lineage: Bacteria; Bacillati; Actinomycetota; Actinomycetes; Actinomycetales. The record is from RNAcentral.
UAGUGGCGAACGGGUGAGUAACACGUGGGUGAUCUGCCCUGCACUUCGGGAUAAGCUUGGGAAACUGGGUCUAAUACCGGAUAGGAGCCAUCUUUAGUGUGGUGGUUGGAAAGUUUUUUCGGUGUAGGAUGAGCUCGCGGCCUAUCAGCUUGUUGGUGGGGUAAUGGCCUACCAAGGCGGCGACGGGUAGCCGGCCUGAGAGGGUGUACGGCCACAUUGGGACUGAGAUACGGCCCAG